GGGCAUAAAUUGAGAUUCUGAACAGAACUGAGGAUGCUUUAAAGGCAAAAUUCCAGUAUAAUUAAUAUUUUCAGUUUGGUCCUCCAAUUUGACAAAUUACGAUUUGACCCCUAAUAUUUUGAUAAAAUCACAUUUUGGACCUUGGGGCAUAAUUCAAGAUUCUGGACAAAGAUAAGGACGAAUUAUGGAUAAAUUUCAGUAUGGAUAUAUAUUUACAAUUCGGUCCUCAAAUUUUGGUAAAAUUACGUUUUGGUCCCUGUUUUGGAAAAUUGUCGUUUUAGUCCCUAAACCUAGGAGAUUAAGCCCGGUUUUAUUUUAUGCAUUGGGAUCUUUUGUUUGAUUUGUUUUUGAGUAUAUUUCAUAUAUUUAUUGUAG
Molecule: long non-coding RNA, 375 nt
Filed under: Populus tremula
Lineage: Eukaryota; Viridiplantae; Streptophyta; Magnoliopsida; Malpighiales; Salicaceae
Description: long non-coding RNA (PTRE_LNC002152)
Source: RNAcentral